UCUUCCGCAAUGGACGCAAGUCUGACGGAGCAACGCCGCGUGAGUGAUGAAGGUUUUCGGAUCGUAAAACUCUGUUGCGAGGGAAGAAACCGUGCCAAUUAACUACUGGCACCUUGACGGUACCUCGCCAGAAAGCCACGGCUAACUACGUGCCAGCAGCCGCGGUAAUACGUAGGUGGCAAGCGUUGUCCGGAAUUAUUGGGCGUAAAGCGCGCGCAGGCGGUCCCUUAAGUCUGAUGUGAAAGCCCACGGCUCAACCGUGGAGGGUCAUUGGAAACUGGGGGACUUGAGUUCAGAAGAGGAAAGUGGAAUUCCAUGUGUAGCGGUGAAAUGCGUAGAGAUGUGGAGGAACACCAGUGGCGAAGGCGACUUUCUGGUCUGUAACUGACGCUGAGGCGCGAAAGCGUGGGGAGCAAACAGG
RNAcentral lists this ribosomal RNA (421 nucleotides) under uncultured bacterium. RNAcentral describes it as "bacterial SSU rRNA". It matches the Rfam family "Bacterial small subunit ribosomal RNA", at positions 362 to 776 of the family's 1533-position model. The record is from RNAcentral.